RNAcentral lists this ribosomal RNA (1113 nucleotides) under Triticum aestivum (bread wheat). Its description in RNAcentral is "partial small subunit ribosomal RNA". Lineage: Eukaryota; Viridiplantae; Streptophyta; Magnoliopsida; Poales; Poaceae. The record is from RNAcentral.
AUGUCUUCCUCCUCCGCCUCCGGUGCCUUCUCCUCAAACCUCAAUAGCCAGGUCACGGAGAAGCCGUCCCGCACGAACUAUGUGCUAUGGCGAACGCAAAUCACCCCCCAACUGCGUGGUGCCGGCGUCUACGGCUACGUUGACGGCACCACACCGGAGCCGGCGAAGCUCCUCAUCACCACCAAAGAAGGCAAGGAGACUUCAUCACCCAACCCUCUCCACCCUCUCUGGGUCCGGGAGGACCAGCAGGUCCUUGGCUUCCUGCUGGCCAACCUCACAAAGGAGGUUCUGGUGACGGUGACCACGGUCACCACGGCGAGCGCGCUCUGGAGGACGCUCGCUGCCAUGUUCUCGUCGCACUCGGCGAGCCGCAUCAACAACAUCCACACCUCCCUCAUCAAUGUGCAGAAGGGUAAUCUCUCGGUUGCCUCUUACUUUGCUGCCAUGCGAGGAUUUGCAGAUGAACUAGCCGCGGUGGGCAAGGCCAUCCAGGAUGACGAACUAGUCUCCUACAUCAUCCACGGGCUAGACGCCGAUUACCAGCCUUUGGUGUCUGCUCUCGACGCUCGUGUGACCCCCGUCACACUCAAUGAACUCUACGCCAUGCUCUCCAACUUCGACCAGCGUGUGGCUCAUUACCACGGGUCCGGCGGCGGCGGCGGCUUCAAGUCUUCAGCCAACAUGGCGUCGCGUGGGCGGGGUAGCGGCUCCCGUUCACGUGGCCCUCCUCUAAACAAAGGGCGAUCUGGUGGCGGCGGCGGCAGUGACCGCGGCUCCUCUCCUCAGCGCACGGGCGGCAGAGGCCGCGGCCGUAGCGGUCGUGGCAGCGGCAACAGAACGCGCCCCGACACUCCAUGCUGCCAAAUCUGCGGGAAACCUGGACACACAGCAAAGGAUUGCUGGUACAGGUAUGACGAGGAUGAUGAUGAUUCCCAGGACGAUGUUGCUGCGGCGGCUGAUGGGUCCUACGGCGUCGACACAAAUUGGUACGUCGAUAGUGGGGCCACAAACCACAUCACCAAUGAACUCGAGAAGGUGACCAUGAAGGAAAAAUAUCGCGGCAAGGAUCAAAUCCACACUGCUAGCGGAGAAGGAUCAGGCAACGAGGGAAAU